This 497-nucleotide ribosomal RNA is filed under the name uncultured bacterium. RNAcentral's name for it is "partial 16S ribosomal RNA". It matches the Rfam family "Bacterial small subunit ribosomal RNA", at positions 28 to 507 of the family's 1533-position model. The record is from RNAcentral.
GAUGAACGCUGGCGGCGUGCCUAAUACAUGCAAGUCGAGCGAACAGACGAGGCGCUUGCUCCUCUGACGUUAGCGGCGGACGUGUGAGUAACACGUGGAUAACCUACCUAUAAGACUGGGAUAACUUCGGGAAACCGGCGCUAAUACCGUAUAAUCUCUUGAACCGCAUGGUUCAAUAGUGAAAGACGGUUUUGCUGUCACUUCUAGAUGGAUCCGCGCCGCAUUAGCUAGUUGGUAAGGUAACGGCUUACCAAGGCAACGAUGCGUAGCCGACCUGAGAGGGUGAUAGGCCACACUGGAACGGAGACACGGUCCAGACUCCUACGGGAGGCAGCAGUAGGGAAUCUGACGCAAUGGGCGAAAGCCUGACGGAGCAACGCCGCGUGAGUGAUGAAGGUCUUCGGAUCGUAAAACUCUGUUAUUAGGGAAGAACAAAUGUGUAAGUAACUAUGCACGUCUUGACGGUACCUAAUCAGAAAGCCACGGCUAACUACGUG